UGAGAUGCCGGCGGUGCAGUAAACGAGGAUGAAAAUCAUGCCGCCGAAGGCCCAAGCGAUGCCGAGGAUGCCAACGCCGCCGCAAGGGUCGGUGGUGUUAGCGGGGUCGGUUUGGCUGCUGUAGCCGAUGACGGUGAGGACGGUGAUGUAGAGGAAGAGCAGGGUGGCGACGAACUCGGCGAUGAGGGCUCUGUAGAAGGACCACUUGGUGAGCUCGGUGGUGUCGAAGAGCGGUGCUGGUGGUGGGUCAUGGUAGUCCUUGUGUGCCAACUGAUCACCUCGCGGUGCUUCGGUUUCGAUGUCUUUCGCCAUGGGAGGAGGAGGAAGAAGAAGAACAGAGAGUGGAGUGUUUUUCUCUCAGA
RNAcentral lists this long non-coding RNA (362 nucleotides) under Lotus japonicus. RNAcentral describes it as "long non-coding RNA (LJAP_LNC001255)". Lineage: Eukaryota; Viridiplantae; Streptophyta; Magnoliopsida; Fabales; Fabaceae. The record is from RNAcentral.